RNA transcript from Rhodamnia argentea, 2464 nucleotides. It is a transcript of the gene named transcription initiation factor TFIID subunit 14b-like, with no coding region annotated. NCBI's taxonomy places the organism in Eukaryota, Viridiplantae, Streptophyta, Magnoliopsida, Myrtales, Myrtaceae. The transcript is spliced from 8 exons. The record is from RefSeq and is a predicted model, not a curated record.
AUGAAAGCAACGCUACCGCCGAAAUGGGAGAGCCGGAAGGAAUUAAGCCCCGUCAAAACCCUAAUUCCCAAUUAUCGCUCGACGUAGAAUUUCUCGGUCGUCGAAUUCUUCAGCGCGAGCAACCCGAAUUUCGGUUCAGAAUCAGGCAGAACAAUGUCCUCGAGGAAACAGGGCGACAUCCAGCCCGAAGAUGGCGGCACUGGCUUUAAGCGCAUCAAGAUCACAAAAUCUUCGGAAGAUCCCGAGAAGAAGGGCUUAAGCCGGAGGCUCAAGGAUGCUGAAAUUAGCUUGCCGAUCGUGUACGGAACCAUUGCGUUCUAUCUAGGUAGAAAGGCUAGUGAGUCCCAAUCGCAUAAAUGGACGGUGUAUGUCCGCGGGGCGACAAAUGAAGAUCUUGGUGCGGUGAUCAAGCGGGUUGUGUUCCAAUUGCAUCCCAGUUUCAACAAUCCUACGAGAGUUGUCGAAGCUCCACCUUUUGAAUUGACAGAAUGUGGCUGGGGUGAAUUUGAAAUCGCUAUUUCCCUUGUCUUUCAUCCUGAUGUUUGCGACAAGCAGUUGGAUCUUUAUCACCAUUUGAAGCUGUACCCGGAAGAUGAGUCUGGUCCUCAAUCAACCAAGAAACCAGUUGUUGUUGAAUCUUAUGAUGAGAUUGUCUUCCCCGAUUCUUCAGAGUCUUUCUAUGCCCGGGUUCAGAAUCAUCCAGCUGUUAUAGUGCCACGCAUGUCCGCCGGUUUUAACAUUUCUGCUUCUGUACCCCCAGAAAACUCUAAUGAACGGGAGAGAGGCGAUACUAAAGAUCAUCCUCUUAGUCAAUGGUUCUUGAAUUUCUCAGAGGCAGAUGAGCUGCUGAAGCUUGCUGCAGCUCGCCAGCAGGUGCAAGCUCAUAUUAUCAAGCUGAGGAGACAACUUAGUGUGAUGGAUGGGAUGCCUCAACUGUCAAAGCCAGCCUCUGCUUAUGAAUAAAUAUGUCAUCUCUUUGAUAACUGUCUGCAAUGUGGAACUGAAUGCAGAGUAGAGAUGCCACUUUGCCAUGUCUGGUAAUUCUUACGUUACUCAAUCUGAUAGAAUGUAAAUAUUAUUUCACGGGGUUACAAAUGAGUCAAUUUUCUGGAGUCAAUUGAACGUACCAAACAAAAUUUAGAAUGACCAAUUUACAUACUUAGUGUUACCAACUUUAGCCAUGGAAGCAGUGUACUCUCAUCCUUGGUCUAUGGGGAAUCCAAUCUGGAUUGUAAUUUUUGGAACAUUGUCUCUGGUGCAUCCGUUCUAAUCGUGCCUCUUCUCUAUGCCUAUGAAUAUUUUCAUAUGCUAUACUUCAUGGAGUGAUAGUCAAAAACUGUGUAGGCAUGGCUUCUUUGUCAUUGGCCAAUGAUCACAAUGAGAAAUAGUCAGUUGUAAGUCAGAACUACUGUUCUGGAAGUUCAGAAAAGUUAAUGAAGACAGCUAAAUAUAUAUAUAUAUAUAUAUAUAUAUGUAUGAAGGGAUAUUGAUGAGGGAAAUGUAAUUACUCGUUACUUACAAUUUCCAAUAAUAUUUGGAGCCUUUUGUUAAACGCUUUUAUGGAUAUCCCAUAUUUUAGUUUCAUGGGAUGCUUGUUCUCUUUCCAAAUAGUUGGUAGCCAUUCAUGGAGACGAUGUAUGAAAAUAGAUGGAGGCUUGUAUUUACAAGGAGAUCUUCGGACGAGGAAGAUAUUGCUCUAAUGGUAAGUUUCAGAUAUUCAGUUUUGCGGGUGAAGUGUCCAUCCAUUAUCUAAGUAAGAAGAUUGUGGGAAUGACUAGUUCUUAGCUUCAUGCUAUCUCGGUAGUUGUGUUUUAGUAACAACAUGGCUCGCAUUUGUCCAUAAUUCAACUUUGGCAUUGUAUGCUUCAUAUAAGUUUGCAAUAUUCAAUUAUCGCAAAACAUCUUGCAGCCAUCGACACGCGAAGAAAAGUAGGAAUUAGUCUUAUUUCCGAUAGUUUUAGAUUGCCAGUCGUUUUUCUUCUUUUGAGGAUUCCUCAUUUAUCUCCACUUUGUAUCUUCUUUUUUAUUUAUCGCAUCUUGGCACAUAGGAAUUUUUUUUAGAGGAAGCUUAACUCCGUUAGAGAAAUUCUUGAGUGGGUGGUUGUUCUACUUUGCUAUCCCACAUAGCUUAUGUCUUUAACUUGGGAUGAUCGGAUAUUGGGAACCAUUUGUCAGAAUAUUUAAAUAGUAAAUCACGCCAUCACCUAACAGUUUAAAGUUUUGAGUUGAAAAUUCUACCUCGGAGUAUAAGGUCCUAAGUUCAAAUUUUCCUAGCCUCUAAUUUGUCUCUACAAUUAUAUAUCCUCACACUUUAGUCUUGGGCGAAAUCCAAGCCGGCGGAGCAUUUAAUAUUAGACCACACCUUCAUACAAUAAUGUCCACUUCCAGAAUAGAUGGCAGCGGUCCCACAAACUUGUUGACCAUUUAAUGGGAAAUGCUGCUCUUAAACCGAGAUUCUGCAUUG